Molecule: ribosomal RNA, 778 nt
Filed under: uncultured Neocallimastigales
Lineage: Eukaryota; Fungi; Neocallimastigomycota; Neocallimastigomycetes; Neocallimastigales
Description: partial large subunit ribosomal RNA
Rfam family: Eukaryotic large subunit ribosomal RNA
Source: RNAcentral
UAUGUGAUCGUCUCUCGCAUAUCAAUAAGCGGAGGAAAAGAAACUAACAAGGAUUCCCCCUAGUAACGGCGAGUGAAGCGGGAAGAGCUCAAAUUUGAAAUCUUAAAGGGUUUCCCUUUACGAAUUGUAGUUUAAAGAAGUGUUUUCUGCUGAGGUUUUGGUAAAAGUUCUUUGGAAUAGGGACAUCAUAGAGGGUGAGAAUCCCGUAUUUGACCUUUACUUUCAACUUUGUGAUACACUUUCAAAGAGUCGGAUUGUUUGGGAAUGCAGUCCAAAAUGGGUGGUAAAUUUCAUCUAAAGCUAAAUAUUGGCGAGAGACCGAUAGCGAACAAGUACCGUGAGGGAAAGAUGAAAAGAACUUUGAAAGAGAGAGUUAAACAGUACGUGAAAUUGUCAAAAGGGAAGCGUUUGACACCAGUGUUGUUUUUCUGAAAAUCAAUUAAAGAACUGUUUAUGCUAAGCUGUUUAGACUUUAUCAGCUAACUGUUUAGUUUUGAGCUUUUCUUUAAUGCACUUUUCAGUUAACAAGUCAACAUCAAUUUCUUUUGCUGUAAAAAAGCUUGAGGAAGGUGGCUUGAGAUUCGUCUUAAGUGUUUAUAGCCUCUUGCCUAUGCAGUCGGAGAGAUUGAGGUCUGCAGCGUAGAUCCUUCGGGGCUAAAUGCAUUUGUGCUAAGUUAUAAGCAUUUUAUAGACAACUUGUCGACUAUGAUUUGUCUUGUAGCUUACUCGCUUAUGUUAUUUUACCUACGCUUAGGAUGUUGAGUAGCGACAUACGCAC